Molecule: ribosomal RNA, 460 nt
Filed under: uncultured bacterium
Lineage: Bacteria
Description: partial 16S ribosomal RNA
Rfam family: Bacterial small subunit ribosomal RNA
Source: RNAcentral
CCUACGGGAGGCAGCAGUGAGGAAUAUUGGUCAAUGGGCGUAAGCCUGAACCAGCCAAGUCGCGUGAGGGAUGAAGGUCCUAUGGAUCGUAAACCUCUUUUAUAGGGGAGUAAAGUGCGGGACGCGUCCCGUUCUGUAUGUACCCUAUGAAAAAGGAUCGGCUAACUCCGUGCCAGCAGCCGCGGUAAUCCGGAGGAUCCGAGCGUUAUCCGGAUUUAUUGGGUUUAAAGGGUGCGUAGGCGGCCUGUUAAGUCAGCGGUGAAAUUCGGUGGCUCAAACAUAGAAUGGCCGUUGAAACUGGGGUGCUUGAGUGUGUGAGAGGCAGGCGGAAUGCGUGGUGUAGCGGUGAAAUGCUUAGAUAUCACGCAGAACCCCGAUUGCGAAGGCAGCAUGCCGGGGCGUAACUGACGCUGAUGCACGAAAGCGUGGGGAUCGAACAGGAUUAGAUACCCGGGUAGUC